AUUGAACGCUGGCGGCAGGCCUAACACAUGCAAGUCGAGCGGAUGAGGGUAGCUUGCUACCUGAUUCAGCGGCGGACGGGUGAGUAAUGCCUAGGAAUCUGCCCGAUAGUGGGGGACAACGUUUCGAAAGGAACGCUAAUACCGCAUACGUCCUACGGGAGAAAGCAGGGGACCUUCGGGCCUUGCACUAUCGGAUGAGCCUAGGUCGGAUUAGCUAGUUGGUGGGGUAAAGCUCACCAAGGCGACGAUCCGUAACUGGUCUGAGAGGAUGAUCAGUCACACUGGAACUGAGACACGGUCCAGACUCCUACGGGAGGCAGCAGUGGGGAAUAUUGGACAAUGGGCGAAAGCCUGAUCCAGCCAUGCCGCGUGUGUGAAGAAGGUCUUCGGAUUGUAAAGCACUUUAAGCUGGGAGGAAGGGCAGUAAGUUAAUACCUUGCUGUUUGACGUUACCAGCAGAAUAAGCACCGGCUAACUUCGUGCCAGCAGCCGG
This 493-nucleotide ribosomal RNA is filed under the name uncultured bacterium. RNAcentral's name for it is "bacterial SSU rRNA". It matches the Rfam family "Bacterial small subunit ribosomal RNA", at positions 30 to 518 of the family's 1533-position model. The record is from RNAcentral.